Molecule: ribosomal RNA, 678 nt
Filed under: Pseudacidovorax sp. SS19
Lineage: Bacteria; Pseudomonadati; Pseudomonadota; Betaproteobacteria; Burkholderiales; Comamonadaceae
Also listed under: 1 other name
Description: bacterial SSU rRNA
Rfam family: Bacterial small subunit ribosomal RNA
Source: RNAcentral
AAGAUGUCAAUUGGUUGUUGAGUCUUAAAUGAGUCAGUAAAGAAGCUAAAGAGUGAAGUUGCCCGCCUGAGGAGUACGGCCCCAAGAUUGAACCUCAAAGGAAUUGACGGGGACCCGCACAAGCGGUGGAUGAUGUGGUUUAAUUGGAUGCAACGCGAAAAACCUUACCCACUUUUGACAUGGCAGGAACUUACCAGAGAUGGUUUGGUGCUUUAAAGAGAACCUGCACACCGGUGCCGCAUGGCUGUUAUCUAAUCGUGUCGUGAGAUGUUGGGAUAAGUCCCACAAAGAGCGCAACCCUUCCCAUUAGUUCAUACAUUCAGUUGAGCACUCUAAUGGGACUGCCGGUGACAAACCGGAGGAAGGUGGGGAUGACGUCAAGUCCUCAUGGCCCUUAUAGGUGGGGCUACACACGUCAUACAAUGGCUGGUACAAAGGGUUGCCGACCCGCGAGGGGGAGCUAAUCCCAUAAAACCAGUCGUAGUCCGGAUCGCAGUCUGCAACUCGACUGCGUGAAGUCGGAAUCGCUAGUAAUCGGGAUCAGAAUGUCACGGUGAAUACGUUCCCGGGUCCUUUUACGGCAGCGCCCGUCACACCAUGGAACGGGUCUCCCCCCGCCCGUUUCUAACCUAACCUCAAAGGAGGGCGCUUCCCCCCGGGCCGGGGGAUUUUCAGGGA